RNAcentral lists this long non-coding RNA (524 nucleotides) under Physcomitrium patens. Its description in RNAcentral is "long non-coding RNA (PPAT_LNC002938)". The record is from RNAcentral. Lineage: Eukaryota; Viridiplantae; Streptophyta; Bryopsida; Funariales; Funariaceae.
AGACCUCUCCAAUUGCUAACGUAUCCCACACAUGCAAAUUACCCUUUGAUCCACCAACAGCAAGCAAAAAUGGAGCAUCCUUGCAAAAACUUGCCGCAAAGACAGCACCAACCUUCGGGUUGGUGGACGCAAUGCAAGCUGGUUGAUUGUCUGUCAAGUCCCACAACUUCACCAUCUUAUCAGUGGAUACCGUAGCCAGAAGGUUGGGUGCAGCAGUGUUGUAUGCCAAACAGCAAGCAGCCUUGUCAUGUGCAUGAAUGGUGAACAAAGCUUUCCCUUGCUGAGGAUCUGUUGUCCCUGUGCGCACAUCAUAUCCUCCAACAGUUCCAUCUUCUAAACUCACUAUAAAUGUGUGUGGCGUGUGCGGAUCCCAGGCUAGAUAUUCUACAUCGGCAGAGACAGACCAGCGGAUGGCGGCCGCUUGAGGAGCUCUCAUAUCUGUCAGGGCCACUGUCCGAUCAAAGGACCCACUAAGAAGGACUGUAGGCUCCUUCAAGUUCCAUGCUACGGCUUGAACUUUAUCU